This 403-nucleotide ribosomal RNA is filed under the name bacterium. RNAcentral describes it as "partial 16S ribosomal RNA". It matches the Rfam family "Bacterial small subunit ribosomal RNA", at positions 355 to 776 of the family's 1533-position model. The record is from RNAcentral.
UGGGGAAUAUUGCACAAUGGAGGGAACUCUGAUGCAGCGACGCCGCGUGAACGAAGAAGGCUUUCGAGUCGUAAAGUUCUUUUAUAUGGGAAGAUAAUGACGGUACCAUAAGAAGAAGCCCCGGCUAACUACGUGCCAGCAGCCGCGGUAAUACGUAGGGGGCUAGCGUUGUCCGGAAUCACUGGGCGUAAAGGGUUCGCAGGCGGAAAUGCAAGUCAGGUGUAAAAGGCAGUAGCUUAACUACUGUAAGCAUUUGAAACUGCAUAUCUUGAGAAGAGUAGAGGUAAGUGGAAUUUUUAGUGUAGCGGUGAAAUGCGUAGAUAUUAAAAAGAAUAUCGGUGGCGAAGGCGACUUACUGGGCUCAUUCUGACGCUGAGGAACGAAAGCGUGGGUAGCAAACAGG